Molecule: long non-coding RNA, 1747 nt
Organism: Oreochromis aureus
Lineage: Eukaryota; Metazoa; Chordata; Actinopteri; Cichliformes; Cichlidae
Source: Ensembl
CUCAGCCUACAUAUCAGGAACAACAAGGAAACAUACCUUAAAACCCACGUACAUACACGCAGAUGCAUACAUAGCAGAGUUGAGCAAAAUGGGAGGUGGAAACAGAAGUAUAUGUAUAAAAGGGCACUGUGAUGUCCCAUCUCUUCAUGUGUUCAUUCACCAGCUUCUUUUUACAUCACAGAGGCAGAUUUACUCCAAACAGUGAUGGCUGCAGUUCUAGCCUCAAGCAGGGGACUGACUGUUUCCAGCACCACCAAAGGCCUGUUCCUCAUGUUCACCCUGCUGUGUCUGGUUUGUCUUUCAACUUCACUGACAAACAAGAACCAACUGGAACAACUCAGAGAAACCUAUCAGAAAACACGACAACAAAUAGAAAAAGUGAAGGCUGAGCAUGAGAAGGAACUGGCCUCUACUACAGAGCUGAUGAAUGAAUACAUGAGCUUUAUGGACCCGAUGAUCGCACUGAUGAAGAAAACGAUGCAAGCAUCAACUGAUAAUGAUUUUCCUCCACUAGAUAAAUUUAUGGAGAACAUGAAGAAUUACAUGAAGCAAACUCAAGCUUACGUUGACAGGAAGCAUGAGGAGUUCGGUGAAAAAAUUGAGCAAAGUGAAAAGGAACUGGAAAUGACUAAGAAAUUCAUUGAAUUUCUUGAGGAACAGGAAGCUGAUUUGUAACCUAAAUGUCAGGGUUUUUUUUUCCUUUUUCUCGCCUUUUCUCUACUAGCAUCCAUUUAGUUCCCCUGUCAUAUAGUACUUUGUCAAUGGACUGGUUCUUAUAGCGCUUUUCUAUCCCCAAAGCUCUCUAUACAACAUGCUGCAUUCACACCAUACACACCCAUUCACACAAGCACUAUUAUCUAUACAUUGAGUUCUUUCUAAUUAUCAUUCAUACGCAUUCAUACUCCGAUGGAUGCAUCGGAGAGCAAGUCGGGGUCAGUAUCUUGCCCAAGGAUAUUUGGCAUGCAAACUAGGAGAGCCAGGGAUCGAACCACCAACCUUCCAAUCAGCAGCUGACCUGCUCUACCUCAGAGCUACAGCCACCCUACUUUGUAUAGUUAUGGCUUAAAAUUUUCUGUCAUCCUUCAUUACAGUUUGCAUAAAGUAACCUAGGAUUUUGCUAUUAGCUACAACUGCUCAGAGGAUAUUAUGGGUUGAAUAUAACCUUUAAGGAAUACAUCUGUAGUACUCCCAUCUUUUUCUGACAUGUCUUGUCUUUAGAAGUGGAAACAAUGUUUAUAUAACUUGACACAUAAUAAAGACAUAUACCAACUUUUAGUAUUGUUUGUUGUCAAAAUAUCUACACUGGUGUGAAAAAGUGUUUGCCCCCUUCCUCAUUUACUAGUGUUUGAGCACAUUACAAUAUUUUUCACACUUAACUGUAGCUCUUCAGAUCAUCAAACAAAUUUUUAUAUUAGACAAAUUCCAAUUGAAUAAAUGGUCAAAUUUUAAUUUGACUUUGAUUGAGGAGGAAAAGUUAUCUAAACCAUUAAUUACAAUUUGGAUAGGUGGUGCAGCCUCCCUCUGUCUCUUUUAGGUCAUAUACAUCUGGUCAAGAUGAAUAUCCUUCCUCGCCUCUUGUAUUUAUUCCAGAUGUUACCGCUUGCUCUGUCCAAAAAAGUUUUGUCAGAAUUAAAUAGCUCAAUUAUCUCAUUUAUAUGGCGUAAGAAAAGACUUAGAUUGAGAUACAGUUUUCUGUGUUUACCUGUUCAGAAAGGCGAUCUUGCUGCUCCCUCCCACAAUACCUCUG